CCUACGGGAGGCAGCAGUGGGGAAUAUUGGGCAAUGGGCGCAAGCCUGACCCAGCAACGCCGCGUGAAGGAAGAAGGCUUUCGGGUUGUAAACUUCUUUUCUGAGGGACGAAGAAAGUGACGGUACCUCAGGAAUAAGCCACGGCUAACUACGUGCCAGCAGCCGCGGUACUACGUAGGUGGCAAGCGUUGUCCGGAUUUAUGGGGUGUAAAGGGAGUGUAGGCGGGAAAGCAAGUCAGAUGUGAAAACUCAGGGCUCAACCCUGAGCCUGCAUUUGAAACUGUUUUUCUUGAGUGCUGGAGAGGCAAUCGGAAUUCCGUGUGUAGCGGUGAAAUGCGUAGAUAUACGGAGGAACACCAGUGGCGAAGGCGGAUUGCUGGGCAUUAACUGACGCUGAGGCGCGAAAGCGUGGGGAGCAAACAGGAUUAGAUACCCUAGUAGUC
This 443-nucleotide ribosomal RNA is filed under the name uncultured bacterium. RNAcentral's name for it is "partial 16S ribosomal RNA". It matches the Rfam family "Bacterial small subunit ribosomal RNA", at positions 338 to 795 of the family's 1533-position model. The record is from RNAcentral.